This 251-nucleotide long non-coding RNA is filed under the name Elaeis guineensis (African oil palm). RNAcentral's name for it is "long non-coding RNA (EGUI_LNC068929)". The record is from RNAcentral. Lineage: Eukaryota; Viridiplantae; Streptophyta; Magnoliopsida; Arecales; Arecaceae.
AGUAGAAGUUUGGCUCUCACAGGAGCCCGUUUAAAAUCCUUAAGACGGUCGACCGCUGUAGAAACUCGGAUGGAGUCCGAUUACUGUAGAAACCUCGUUGUCGAAGAAGCUCGGAUAUUGACGAAGUCUGAAAGGAGUUCGGAGAAUAGUUUAUCACCAUAGAAGGUCGGCUGACAGUGAGGCCUAGAGAGCCUUUGGAGCAGCACGGUAGAUGGAUGGAGAAGCUCAUUGUCGGAGAAGUCCGGAAGCUC